ACUCCUACGGGAGGCAGCAGUAGGGAAUAUUGGUCAAUGGGUGAGAGCCUGAACCAGCCAUGCCGCGUGCAGGAAGACGGCCUUCUGGGUUGUAAACUGCUUUUACCAGGGGAUAAAACGACUCUGCGGAGUUAAUUGAAGGUACCUGGAGAAUAAGCACCGGCUAACUACGUGCCAGCAGCCGCGGUAAUACGUAGGGUGCAAGCGUUGUCCGGAUUUAUUGGGUUUAAAGGGUGCGUAGGCGGGCUAUUAAGUCAGUGGUGAAAUCCAGCAGCUUAACUGUUGAUGUGCCAUUGAUACUGGUAGUCUUGAGUACAGAUGAGGUAGGCGGAAUUGACAGUGUAGCGGUGAAAUGCAUAGAUAUUGUCAAGAACUCCGAUAGCGAAGGCAGCUUACUGGGCUGUAACUGACGCUGAUGCACGAAAGUGUGGGGAUCAAACAGGAUUAGAUACCCUGGUAGGCGUAGU
Molecule: ribosomal RNA, 467 nt
Filed under: uncultured bacterium
Lineage: Bacteria
Description: bacterial SSU rRNA
Rfam family: Bacterial small subunit ribosomal RNA
Source: RNAcentral